This 334-nucleotide ribosomal RNA is filed under the name Oxyopomyrmex insularis. Its description in RNAcentral is "partial 12S ribosomal RNA". The record is from RNAcentral. Lineage: Eukaryota; Metazoa; Arthropoda; Insecta; Hymenoptera; Formicidae.
UUUAAAAUAAGUAGUGAAAUUAAAAAUUAAAUGAAAUCAUUAAAUUUAAAUAAUUUGGCGGUAUUUUAAUUAGUCAGAGGAACUUGUAUAGUAAUUGAUAGUCCACGAAAGGAGGUACUUAAAUAAGCUUUAUGUAUUGUUGUUUUUAGAUUAGUUUAAGAGGAAGUAAUUGAUAAUUUUAAUUGAAUUUAAAUUCAAAUCAAAAUGUAGGAUAUUUAAGAAAGAAUGAGUUACAUUAAAGAUAAUUUAGAUUAAUUAUUUUAAAAUUAUUAUGAAAAAGGAUUUGAUAGUAAAUUUGUAAAAUUUUAUAGAUUGAAAGUAUAUUUAAAGUAUG